This 235-nucleotide long non-coding RNA is filed under the name Elaeis guineensis (African oil palm). RNAcentral describes it as "long non-coding RNA (EGUI_LNC029091)". Lineage: Eukaryota; Viridiplantae; Streptophyta; Magnoliopsida; Arecales; Arecaceae. The record is from RNAcentral.
GGCAUCUCAUCCUUGGCUCUCUUUUCCUUCAUCCAUAUAUACUCAUAUGAUCCUCGCAAGACCUUAUACAUCUUCAAUGUUUGAGCCAUCAUCUCACCAGCCCUUUGAGUCGCCGAAGUUCUUCAUCCACCCUCACUUCUAAAGAGAAGCUUUCCGAGUUAAGAGUGGCUUUGGACGUGGUGGAUAAGAAAAGAAGAGAGGCACAUAGCUGCCCAUCUUUUUCCUUUGAAUCAUG